Molecule: long non-coding RNA, 1663 nt
Filed under: Paramuricea clavata
Lineage: Eukaryota; Metazoa; Cnidaria; Anthozoa; Malacalcyonacea; Plexauridae
Source: RNAcentral
CCUAUCGCUAUCAAAAUUAAUUUGAAAUGUAAUACAAUUUUAAAAUAUAAUUCAAGGGAAAAUAACAAAAAAAAGUUUUUUCAAAAUAAAUUGCUUUUUUUUUCAAAAAUGAAAUGAAAAUGAAUUUUUUAUCGGCCUAGCGCUAUCACAGUAUCCCAUGUGGCAUUGCGCGCAUAGCUUGUGCUUCCACUGAUAUAAUUAUAAACAUUUUGACUGUAGAUUUCUAUUGUAAAACUGAUAUUUUUCCGAGUUUUCGCCUUAUACUCGACAAGUAUGCGAAGAAAUCAAGUCAAAUCUGGUAUUUCGAGAACAAGCACACAUCAUAGAAGAAUGAAGAACAUUUGGAUGUUGAAAGAAACUAAAUCGCAGGUAAAUAAUUUGACAUUUUCACCGUCGAAAAUCAGAGCCAAGCGAGCGUCAGAACACAACACACUACACUGUCUGUCUAUACUUCUAGAUAUUACAAAGUAAUUUUGAUUUUUCAGUAUAAAAUAGUCACUUACUACAGUACUAAAACAAUUAUUUACGUUUUUGAGUGAAUAGGUAGGUUUAAUAAGCAGCAUGCCAUAUAAGAUAUUAAACAAUUUGUAAUUGACGUUUUAUGCUUCGGCUGAUAAAUUUGUUCAGACCAACUGGCCAGGGUGCAUUGGGCUAUUCCAUUUAAUAUCCGUACCCAACUCCCUGUCGAGGAUCCCUGGAAUUCUUCAGGGGUAAAGUGUUUUGAGCUUGGAAUUCUUCAGGGGUAAAGUGUUUUGAGUUUGGAAUUCUACAGGGGUGAAGGAUUUUGAGCUUGGAAUUCUUCAGGGCUAAAAGGUUUUGAGCUUGGAAUUCUUCAGGGGUAUAACCAUGAAAAACAUGUAUCCUCGACAGGGGGUGUACGGAUAUUAAAUGGAAUAGCCCAUUCCAUGUAAAGUACUCCGUAGAUAAUCCAACAUAUACAAUAGUUCACGCCAAUAUGUUGGAGAUUUUAACCCCGGGACCAAAGUCGAUGUUAAAAUGGCAUUUAAUGGCUAUAAACCUGGCAUGUUUUAUUUACUGUUGGGCCAUUCCAUUUAAUGUCCACACACACCCUAUGGAUGAGUUUUUCUGAAGGGUGACUCAAAAAGUCGUUUCUAGCCUGUCGGCAUCCUUUGAUCUCUGCAAUUUUUCUGAGGGUUAAGCGGAAAAUUUAGAAAUUUCUGAGGGGUGUUUUGUGUCGGCACUUUGAUAUUUUUUUCUUAGGGGUUAAAAUUUUACUGACCUCAUCCAUAGGGGGGGGGGGGAGUGGAUUUUAAAUGGAAUGGCCCAUUAACAUCAUAUCCUUGAAGUUUAUAUACUGUGAAUAUAGAAUUUAUAGAUAUUGUAUGACAAUCAAUUCAGCCACAAACUUCUACUGUAGUUACACUUAUCACUUCUUUUUGAGUGAUCUCAUGUCAAUUCUUGGGUUUCACUAUGGCAUUAUACAGUGAAUCUGACGGGGGGCAAACUCAAGUGUAUUGAUGCUUAUGCUGUACUCGAAUGAGAAAAUGAUACAAAAUUCCAUGUAUUCACCAUCAAACACAAGGCUAACACAUAAAAAGAACAAUCGACUCACAUGAAAAGUAUAGAAUAAAAAUGCAGAUGACAUUGACAACAUGAGAUGAUAAAGAUCUUUAAUGUAAUAUAAACUGACACAACAACUACA